CGAGGUGGCCGCUGCCACCGCCGACUGCCUCAGACCCCGCCUGGCACCCGGGCCGAAUCGUCUGUCGCCCGGCGCCUGGGUUGGAGUCACCCCCACUCCCGCUUGCCCCGGUAUCUUAAGUUUCCCUACGUUUCAUUCGGUUCAAGGAAACGUUAGGCUCGCACGGCGGGGGCGACAGAAGCGGACGAGGCUGGAGCGCAACUUCGAAGGACGUCCCCGCCCUCAGCCUCUCCUCAGACCUGUGUUCACUCGUCACGGUCUCCCAAGAUGGGCGGAGGGCGAGGAGCCGUAGGGGCGAGCGGCGACUGGAGACUGCUGCGCGCGGUCGGGGAGAGCAGCGUCUAGGUAUGAUUGAAUCCCUCCCUCCCUUGCGGAGAACCCAAAAUCCCCCCUUGGUAUCUUCCUGGCCAAGCAUAGUCACCGCUGAUGGCUCACAGUACGGGGAGGGAUACCCGUGAUAUCCAGUUAGGUGCUGUACCUAUUGAAGACACACAGGAAUUAGGUGUAUCGAAGAUCGUAUUCUUAAUAAGGUACAGUUGGACUUCUGAUUUCUCAAUAACUGAGAAGAUAUUUAUAUUUAUUUGUCUUUUAUUUUUGUAUUUUUGCCAUGUAUUGAACGUAUCAGGAGUGUAUUUGUGCAAUUAAUGACAAGAUAAUCGUCUUUUCUUCUUUAUGGCCCUCUUCCCCUUAAUGGUCUGGGAAUUGUCUGUCAUUAUUGUUUAACAAAAUAUUGGACAUGAUUUCAUUUACAAUGGGGGAAAAAAGAGGCAUGGUCAAAGAAGAAAUCAGAUGUGACCUAAAACACAUGAAGGAUAUCUUAUUUUCACUAUUUGAGAAGAAUAUAUUUUAUUUUUAGUACUGUGGCAUAAUAUACAACAUUUUGUAAUAAGCAUAGAUUGUGUAGUCUAGGUCUUAAUUGUAUCACUCACCACAUAGUUGUAUGUAGAAAUGAUUGAUGCAUAAUAUGUCAUACCAUGGCAUGAAGCAUGAUGUCAUAUGCUUUCCCCUUUAUUUUGAAGUACAUUCCACAACAUGACACAAAACAUAAGAACUUGUGACUUCUCUUUAAAGCCAUAAUUGUGCAAGUAAUGUACUACAGAAGGAUUUAGUCAACAUAUCCUAAGAAAAAAAUGAAUGUCAUUGUAUCAGCUCUACCAUUCUAUGAAAUGUCCUUUAAGCAAAUGGUAAUAUAAAAUAUUAAAAUGCAUUAUGUAUAAUGUACAUAUGCACAGUCUAUGUACAAUAUACAUAUUGUAUACCAUAUAAUUACUAUAGUUUAUGACCACCAUGAAAGGAAAAGGAAAACAAAUGUUUCUCUGCUUGGAGAAGGAUGAGUGUUAUAUUAAGAUUUUACAUGUGUGAACCUUACAUAUAUAUGUAUUUAGAAACAUUGUUCUUAUGAUUGAAAAAAGGUUGACAAUCCUGAGAUUGUAUUAGAGGAAACUGAUUUGAUUAAUUUGAGAAGUGAUUUGUGAAAUUAAUUUGAGAAAAUGACUUUUAAAUGCUAAUAGAAAAAGUCUGACAGUUCUAAGAAGUCUGAAUUGUAACAGAAGAGAAUGGUUUACUCUAAGCUGCUAAAAGCUAAUGGUCCUGUCAUUAAAAUCAUUUGAAGUAUUAUUAAAAUACAGAAAAACAUUAAAAUCUUUCUCUGUGCAAACUGUA
Molecule: long non-coding RNA, 1662 nt
Organism: Neogale vison (American mink)
Lineage: Eukaryota; Metazoa; Chordata; Mammalia; Carnivora; Mustelidae
Exons: 2
Source: RefSeq, a predicted model, not a curated record